Molecule: non-coding RNA, 77 nt
Organism: Pangasianodon gigas (Mekong giant catfish)
Lineage: Eukaryota; Metazoa; Chordata; Actinopteri; Siluriformes; Pangasiidae
Source: the annotation of a GenBank genome assembly
GGCAGCUGUGGCUCAGCAGUUAAAGCUCUGGGCUGCUGACUGGAAGGUUAUGAGUUCAAAUCUCAGCCUAGCUGCCA